This is an RNA transcript of Hylaeus volcanicus, 12762 nucleotides long. It is a transcript of the gene named forkhead box protein O, with no coding region annotated. The transcript has 8 exons. Lineage: Eukaryota; Metazoa; Arthropoda; Insecta; Hymenoptera; Colletidae. The record is from RefSeq and is a predicted model, not a curated record.
AUCUCGUCUUCGUCGCCCCCGAGCCGUGCGGAGGCAGGCGCCACGAAUUCACUUCUCGCGGCUUCGGCUUCGCUCGGUCAGUUCCGGCUUUCGACCAAAAGAAUUCGUCAGUAUUCGCCGCGCUGCCUUGCCGGCAAGUUAUACGUGAUAGAGAGGUGAUUUUGAUUCCCGUAAUAAUCACGAGUGCGCGUGUCUGAUACGAAGUUAUAGAUAUAUAUAUAUUUAUAUGUAUAUGUAUUUAUAUAUAUAUGUAUACAUAUAUAUACAUAUAGUAUAUAUAUAUACAUAUAUAUUAUAUUCGGGACCAGUGUGCUCCGGAAGUGGAGGAGGUGGCUCCAAAAUACGAGUGUUCCGUAGGUGUCGUGUCGCUCCGAUCUACCUUAUAUUCGAAGUAAAGGUGGAUCGAAGGGGUAGUGGACGGUCAGAGAAGAUCGAUGAAAAAUUGGGAGAGAGGCAGUUCUCCGAGCGACGAGAAGAUAUCGAUAACGGUCGAUUCGAUCGUUGGAAUUUUAUCGACAGACUUCGGGUUACGUCGUGCACGGUCAGUGACGCGUCACGGUUCCGAAACUCGAUCCACCGAAACAGUUCGCAAAAGCGUGCUCCAUUCGCAACGCGAGACAACAAAGACGGAGAUCCUCUCCUCGCAGUGGGCCAAGUUCUCUAUCAAAACAUGGCCACGUGACCGACGGUGCGGCUUGUAAACAGAGAGUUUGACCACGUGGUCUGCCCCCUCUACCGGCGCCGGUGUGUUCUCUCUCUCGCUCCUUCUUACAGGUCUCUUUCUCUCUCCCGUUCGCUCGCGACACGCAGAACAACGUACAGUGUAUUCUCGGUCGGUCCGCUGCCAGUUGCGGGAGAGUUCGAUUCGGGUGAUCCGCGAUACUCCGAUUCGCUUCGCUUCGCGUACAAUUCGUUUUCGUCUGGUUACCGCGUGUUAUCGAUACUCUGGACACUCUCCACUCUCGUCGGUGGGACCAUCGAAAGGAAUACGCGCUAUCAGUGAUCGAAGAGCGCAACAAUUGUUCGAAAAAGUGACUCCAGGUUCGGUUUCGUGUACGUUAUCGUCGAUCAGUGCUCUGUUUAACCGGUAAGAGUGAGAGUGCCGGCAACAUCGUGACUCCCCGUCUAAACUUUCCGCGAUUUCUCGGUGGUCGGCGCGAUAUCUGUCGGGUUCAGCACCUCUCGAGGUGCUUCGCGGUCAAAGUGGAGUACACGGAGGAACCUAACAUGAUGGACUCGGUGCCGGUGUCAGCAUCGGGGUCGAAGACCGGGUUGCAACCACAGCAGGGGGUACCGUACGACCUUGAAAGCGCAUUCGAGCCACAGACGAGAGCACGGUCGCACACGUGGCCGUUGCCAAGAUCGGAGGAGUACAUCGAAGGGAACGUGGUGCCGAAUGUAUCGGCCAGCAAAGAGGGCGUCGAAGGCGUCGAAAGUGGCACGCCGCCUCAGCAUGGCUCUCUCGGCCAAGGUGCCGGGCUGCUUCCGGUCAAGAAAAAUUCCUCGCGACGAAACGCAUGGGGGAAUCAUAGUUACGCGGAUCUCAUCACUCAAGCCAUCACCAGCGCUCCGGACAAACGGUUGACUCUAUCUCAAAUCUAUGAAUGGAUGAUGCAAAAUAUUACCUACUUUAGAGAAAAGGGGGAGAGCAACAGCAGCGCUGGAUGGAAGAACUCCAUAAGACACAACUUAUCGUUGCACAGUCGAUUCAUGAGGGUCCAGAAUGAAGGUACCGGAAAGAGCUCCUGGUGGAUGAUAAAUAACGACGCCAAGCCUGGUAAAUCGUCACGUCGAAGGGCAAUGACCAUGGAGCCCAGUAAAUCGGACAAACGACGCGGCCGCGUGCGAAAGAAGCUCGAAGCGAUAAGAGACGGUGGGCUGCAAAAUGACGCAAUACCCAGUCCAAGUAACAGCGUCAGCGAGGGACUGGAUCUUUUCCCGGACAGCCCUCUCCAACCCGGAAGUGGAUUCCAACUUUCCCCGGACUUUCGCCCCCGAGCUUCGAGUAACGAUUCAUCCUGCGGCCGAUUAAGUCCAAUCUCGGCGAUUCCUGGAAAACCGGAAUGGACACCAACAUACACACCAUACAGCCCAGAACAAUUAGCCGGUAGCCUCGCAGAAACGAUGAAACUGGACUCCUAUCAAAUGUACCAGACGUCACCCCCGAGCCAUCAAACUCAGACAGGCCCGCCACCUUCUUAUUACGAGACCCAGUAUCAAAGGAGCAACAGCCUUACCAUGGGAUCGUCCUCCUUUGCUUUGCAACCGACACCUCAAUCUGCAAAUCAGCAAAGAUGCCCGAUUCAUGGUCUGCAGCCAUGCGCUUGUCAAAUGAAUUUGAGUCCAGUGGCUGGAAUGUCACCGUCCUAUCAACAAAGCGAACCGAGUCCCACGGCGCUAGGGAACAGCCAACAGCAAACUCUUCAGUACAUGAUACAAACGCAGCAGUGCCAACAGCAGCAACAGCAAUUGCAGCAGCACCAACAGCCACAAACGGGAGCAACCGGAACCAGUCAAACGCAAACACCAACACCUUGUGGCCCCGCGCCAAGCACGAUGAUGGGACAGUUGAUGGGAGCGCUCAACAAUUCCACGAUUCUUGACGAUUUGAACAUUAACAUUGAAGACCACGGUGGAUUCGCUUGUACCGUUGAAGAGGUGAUCAAACACGAGCUGUCGAUGGACGGAACGUUGGACUUCAACUUCCAGCAGAGCGUGAUGGGCACGGCUGCGAUUCAAGUGAGCGAUAGAAACAUCGGUCAGAACGGUGCCGUGUCUCAGAACAACGUCGUCGGCACGACGGCUGGAAACGCACCCGCAGGAGUUUACGUGAGCACCAAUGCGGCGACUCCUGCUGCACCUCCCUCGUGGGUUCACUAGCAGUGGACCCCACUGCCCUCGACACCUCCAUCGUACUUGUCAUCGCCUUACUAGACGGACAGGAUCAUUUUCACGGAUCGUCCGAGGGACAGCUCAUCGAAGUCCCAAAGUGUCGAGGACGAGCAGGAGGAUCGAGUUCUUGUGAUAAGGUGUAGAGAUAAUUGUACCAUACCACGACCACGAUACGUAUCAUACCAUCAAACGUACUUCAAGGAUCUACAUCUGUGCGACUGCGAUGCGAGAAUGGCGCCAUGAGCGCGAUCAACAUCGUGGAGCGAGCGUCGUCUCUUCGACGCCUGUAGUUUUGCUUACCAGGCUGGUCGAAACAGGAUUGGAGAAAAAAACCCGCGCAUAUUUCGCCAUUUUUCAUUACCUGACCUCUUCGUUCCCGCGUUUCGAAGGACGAAGCAUCGAGAAUCGCAGCCUCCUUCCGCGUUCUUCUGCGAAAUCGCCUAAGCGUUUCUUACUUUUCCUGUCACAUUACCAACACGAACGUUGCAGUAUAUGGCAUCUCUCGACGAGGAGAAUCACAAUAGCGAUUCCACAAAAAUCUAUUAGUUUAUUUUUAGAAACUCGUCCAAUGUUAUUUUCAACGUGCUCGUUUCGCAUCAUGAUUUCCAUUUUCAAAAACUUUUUUCAAUUUUUCGAUAAAUACUAUCGUCAAUUUUGUCAGCAACUUCCGCUUUUACUCUCAGACUUCUUUCUACGUUUCUUAUAUUCUUAACAUAUGUAGUUCGCUGUUAGAUCUUUUAAGUUCGUGUACAAAUUUCUAGACAAUUCAUAUAGAUAAUAGUAGAACAAUAAUUUCGUAGUAAUGACGUUUGCUUUUGUCGAAAUAUUUUAAUAAAAAGAUCUGCGAUUAGAUCUGUGAUUCAGUCAAAUACGCGAUGACUUACGAAAUUACCUGAUGUACGGAAAAACUGUAUUCGAGCAAUGUUAAAUUCAAAUUUCUGCGCCAGUAAAGAAAUCAUGUUGCGUUACAAAUUGCCUUUUCUACAUUCGAGCUCAAAAGUUUUUCUUCGUAUUAUACCUAUCAGAAGUUCUUUUUGCGACCUCCGACCGCAAAAUCCGCAUCUAAGUCAGCUUCGGGUCUCCUCGUCGUUGUUCGAUGACGCAGAAGCGACUGAAAAGCAGGCAACGUUCCUUCGAUUUCUCUCAAUCGUCAGGGUACAUCGAUCAGCUUCUCCUCGCGUCGGUUUCACCUUGUCCUCUCCAAACUUCUUUGCGACUAGCUACGCAACAGUGGUCCUAAUAGUCCUGGGCACGUUUCAUUUGAAAUUAAAAUAAACAGCCACUAUUCAAAAUAACGUUUCAGUCUUUUAUUUCCUGCAACGUUAAUUAGAAGUAAUUGAAAUAUCAAUUUCCUUGAAAUAAUAGGAAUUUCAAGUAAUUUACUUCUUUCAUUAUUCGAGAAAACGAAUGUUUCAAGUGAGAUUUGACAUGAUAGUGUUGUCGUUUACAUGACGAAUCGUUAUUUACGCUUCUAUCUAAAUUUAUUUAAAUUUAUGCACAAUUUAAAUUUAUAUAAAUUAUUAGCGCAUCGAUUAAUCGAAAUUAUAAAUCCGUACGUAGACUGAAUUGUAUUUAUUAUAUUAAUUUCUUUCCUUUUUUUUUUAAUGAUCAUGAUUUCAUUUAUUAAACAACCUCAACUUAUUUUACUUUGCUAGUUCACAUAUGAAAAUAUUGUUAUUUAAAGAUACAGAUCGAAAACAGAUUACGUACAAUAAUAUGUAAAAAUUAAUCAAAAAAAGACACCUUACUCGAAAUUGUAUUUCAAAUAAUGUUAUUUGAAAGGUGGCCAGGACUGGGCUGGAAGAUGACGCUCGUUCCAAUGAACAUGCUCGCAGCAAACCCGGGCCCACAAAUGGACAAAGAUUUUAUUCGGAUACAAAUUUCGAAUAACGAUUGAUAUGUAAACAACAUCCGAUCCGUCACUCGUCGAAGAAAAUUUAGAAUUGAAAUUGCAAUCAUCGAAUGAGAACUUACGUUCACCUAGGAUGAAUCACUUAGUAGCGUCCUUAUUCGUAAUUUGUCAUUCGAAUAAAAUUUUUGACCAUCUCUGGUCGCGGUAACUCGCAAGGUGUACGACACGCUUCAGAUCUCCGAUAGUCCCAAUGCGUGCGCGAUCGUCCGACGAUGAAAUCGGUGUCAUCGACGAUCGGCGAUUCCGUUUCUUCUUUUUCACUUUUUCGCCGUUCCCUCUGGUCCCACGUUCGCUCGAUUUUUGAGAAUCACCGUCGGAGAACGGGAUCUAGCAUGGCUGAGCCAGUUAAAAAACGGAGGCACGAAUUUUCUGUACAUUUCUGAAAAUAAUCUUGCGCACACGAUUGCACAUACACGCGCGGCAAUGAACAGUUACGAGCUAAAAGGUCAGAAGGGAGAACGAUGCUUUUUUUCUUGGCCGACGAAAAGAAUGAGGACUCGCCGACGUUCGCCGUGCGCACACGAUCUCUAUUCUCUGUAAAAGUAACCUCGUGUGCUUUCAAGCGCACACUAUACAUAUAUACAUAUAAAUAAAUAUAAAUAAAAAUAUAUUAUAUCUACAUAUACAUAUAUAUAUAUAUAUAGAUACAUGAAUAUAAAAUGAAGGACAACAAAUAUUAUUGUAUGUAAUUAAAAUAUUUACGAAGAGAAAUUGUGCGUGGAUAUCGCUACGAAUUCUAUUAUAGUAUAUAUGUAUGAUAUUAUAUAUACAGUAAUAUAUAUACAUAAAUAUAUAAUACAUAUCAUACAUAUAUACAUGAUAUUAUAUAAGGAAAAAAAGUGUUGAAUAUAUUCUAUAGAAUAUUGUACGUUCGCUAAUGUUAUGUAUGGUAUACAAAGAAAAUUCAUAUAUAUACAUAUACAUAUAUAUAUAUGAUUAUGUGUAUAAUUAUAUAUAAAUGCAUAUGUAUAUUCAUAUAUGUAUGUUCAUAAGUAGAUGUAAGUACAUAAGUUAUGUAUAAGAUAUUCAUAGGUACAAUUAACGAUAAGUACGUUACUGCAAGUAGACGUGUAAAGGAAAGUUUUAGUCACAUGGUUAAAAUGGAGUCGAGACGACGAUGAUGCUCAUUUUGCGUGGCUUUUUGCGAAUCUAGCGCGUUGUCUUUAAGAGAAGGAAAGAAUGUUGGUGCUUUUCGAUAGAUGAACGUUUCUUUCUUCGUUUAUGUUGUUCGUCGUCGAUGAAACGGUAUUCGUCAGAUCGAUGUACUAUUUAGGUAGACCGGGCUGAAAGUGUCAGACAGAAGACGUUCCCGCUAACGACGUUGACGAUCAGGAUAGUAAUGCAAUCGGUGCUUGUUAUUUUCAAGCUAAUCGAAACCUUUCUAAAAUCGAAACUUUCGAUUCGACCGGGCACAAUUAAUCGAAUAACCAUAGGAAGAUACCAAUCGAUUACGAUCGUUGAGUAAAUUUCCAAGAUAAACUCCCUUCCGUCGUCGCAAUAUGGAACGUCUUUACGCGUUCUGGUACUGUCGGCUCGACCAGUUAGAAGGUCCUCCGCGGACUCCCUCGAUUUUCACGAGGACUUUGUAAGCUAGUGUAGAAAGAAAUACGCGAUUCUACCAUCGAAGAGCUUAGGUGAAUUUAGUAGACCCUCGAUGUACCGAUUGCCCAACGAUCGAACGAUGUACCAGAGGGAAGUAGACCACUGCAAACGCAUCUUCGGCUCGUCGAACAUGACCCAACGGCCACGAGAGUCUCAGCUCGAAGGGAAAUUCCUUCGAGUUACACAGUGGUCGCGAGUUAGGGUUAUCUCGUGUACUGUAGCGACGAAGAAAGUCAAUUUUAUCGACAAAAUACGAUUAAAUCUAGAAUAACCUGUGCGUGUAUGUAUGAAACAGAAUAACAGACCCCGUUCGACCGAGGAACACGUUUGCUAUAGCGUCCAGCAAGACGAAACGCUAACGACGACUGAUUAGCCACUGUUACUUCGAAUGUAAACCCCCUUUGAUCGAAUAAUUUUUAAGUUCUUCUUUUUUUCUGUAAGCUGCCAUUCACAUGGAUAGAAUCGUAUGGUUGUCUGUCAUCUCUGAAACUGGUGCAGUUAACUAGCAAUUCACGACUAUUAGCAAAGAAAUCACAGUUUAGUUGCAAUGUAUUCUAGCCAAUUUCCAUCAAAGUUAUGCACAUACCUUGCAAUUGUUAUCUGUAUAACAUACAGUGACUCAGCUGUCGAGGACUCCGUUAUUCUAUUGAUACUUCGCAUAAUUUAUUUUAUACCAGUCAAUGGUACAUCUACGAGUUUAGAAUUUUGACAAAUUUUAUAGUUCUUUCGACUCGUUUGAAGAUCACACGAUAUUUUACGAAACACAGAUAGUACCACAUUUAACUUUUUAUAUUCGACAACAUUUUCGCUAUGGCGUACUACCAAUUCCAGGUGAUCCUGCGAGUAAUGAACACCUUGUCCCUAUCAUAAAAUGUUUUUAUACACAAAUUAACUCGCGCUCGACUACUAGAUUACACAGUGGGCUUGUUUCUUUAAUUCGCGCACAAAUAUGACAAUUAUAGGAUUUAGUGCAACGACGAAAAGAAAAUAGUAUACAGUCAGUCCCAUAAAUAUUCGUACCUUUUAUAUCUAUUAAAGAAAUCCGUCUAAAUUAAAUGAUAGGUUUGAUAUUUUUAAAGUAUUCCAUUAUUGAUACAUACAAGUGUAAAGUUUAUUCAUGUAUAUAUUUAUAAUGAAACAUUUAUUUGAAAAUAUCAAACCUAUCGUUUACUUUAGACAGAUUUCUUUAAUAGAUAUACGAAUAUGUAUGCGACUGACUGUAAAUAGCAAAUUGCUAACUGAUUGAAACUAUGUAGAUUUACUUGAAUACAGCAUUUCGACUAAUUGCACGAGUGGAAAUCAAAUUGCACACAUGCUUUCUUAUUCUAGUCUUGAUAAAUAAUCAAUAUUGUCACAAUUUGACGGAACAUAUCUAAAUUCGAACCCACAGUAAUGUUUCAACCCUUUACAGCCGAUGCUGGCACAAUGGUGGUAUUUAACCCUUUACGUCCGACGAAAUUUUCAUAAGACCGAGUUAGUGAUUCCACACGAUUUUCAAAAUUAAAGAAUUCUUGGAAUAAUUGGAUGACGAGUCGCAAAUUUCACCUGAGCAGCUGAACAAACUGUGAAUCGUCGUCAACGGGCUACCUGAUCGUGAUUUCAUCGCGUUCUACGUAGAAACUGCCAUUUACUUGAGUUCAAUAUGUACAUACAGAGUGAAUUGUCAGUCGUCGUUUCGGUCUUGUUCCGCACGAGAUCUGCCGACGGUACGUUUCCAUUUUCCUUGAGGCGAGGAGCGAAAAGAACGAGCCAAACGCAAAGUUGAUCGUCACUGUUCAUAAGGUAAUCGCGGGACGAAGUUAAUCUGCAAGAAAGCAACACGUGUGACUGAGGAUCGGUAACUUUGAUCGGUGAGCGCGUAUAGGGAGAGAACAGAGUAUUAUCGACGAGAAGAAUACGAUUUAUUAUGAUUCUCCUGAAUCGUAAUACGCAGACUGAACACUCUAACUCUCGAAACUUCCAAUGUUUUAAAAAUCCUGAACGGAUAAAAAAAGUGACGACGAAACUUGUUUGUUAUUAUAGAAGAUAAAUUAGUUGUCUUUCAAGUCUCGUUCGAUACAUCAACGUUCAGAGUGGAAAAUGAUACUUUUUUCUUGUAUCAAAGUUUGAUUCGUUAGCAUGAGCUUGACGACUCGUCUGAGCAUUAUUUAAUAAUAUUUCUUUCAUUCUGGAUCGUUAGUAAUCAUGCGAAAGUAGAACACCGUAACAGUAGAUACCAGGUCAUUUCUAUAAGUUCCUGACCAGUUUAAAUUGCGAAGCAUUCGUUAGUUUCUUAUAUUUGGUAAUUUACUAGUUGCCGAAAUUAGUAUUUAGUAUUUUUUAAUUGAAAAUGGACAGUAGGUUUGUUGAAUUUAAUAAAAGUGAAUACGAUAGACAGACUAUUGACAAUAUCAACCUAUAUAACAAGACCUAUGAUAACAUCUACUCUAGAACAGCAGAAAUUUUUCGAGAAUUAAAAUUAAAAUUUUAACGAAAUAUAAACAUUCUGCAUAUGAUUAACUUUUAACACGCGCAUGUGCCAAUUUUUCUAGCUUAUGAAAUGACCCGAUACGUGUGAAAUGUUCGUGUAAAUAAACAAUAAUAUAGGAAAGGUGUAUUACCAGCGAUCUAGAAUAAAAUAAUCUCUGUACAUUAUCUUGCAGUUUCGAUAAACAUUGUUUGCGUUCUUACUUGCGUUGUGUAAUGUUAACGAAUCGUAGAAUCAGUUAGAGCCGAGUGUUAGAGUGGCUCACUCCGCAUACUCUUCUCUGGAUAACGGGUUCGUUCGUUUAGAAACAAUGUUUGCAACAGUUUUCUUCAGGGACGAGUCAACGAGAUACCGUGGAAAGGCGUCUAUGUAGAAAGAAACGUUUCCGAACGCUGGAAUAUUUCCACGAGAAAUCAAGGGAGACUCACGUGAAAUUUUAGCUCGUGUAUCCGUCCACUGACUGUAGAAUUUCAGAUCAAGAGACUGUUGCGCCGUUGCGUGACUGAGCUCUCAAAGAUGGCAAUGACUAGGUGGCAAUUAUCAGAAAAGUGUUGCGCGACGAAUAGUCCAUUUUCAACCUGUUUUUGUUUUUUCUGUGGUUGACAAGUAGAGAGUCAACCUACUGUAUUGUAUGAGAUGCAUAGCUGAAUGACAUUAUAUUAGGAAGCCAUAUAGGCAAGCGGUAGUAAAUUGAGAUUUGAUACACAUUUUUGUGAAAAAUAAUUCUAUGGUUUUUAAACUUCAUAUAUUUAUCUAUUCAUCCUGUAUCAUUUGAGAACCGAUAAUAGAGUUUAAAUAGAGUCAAAUUUUGAUAACUUUUGCGGUGAUCAGAUUAUCUUCGUUAUUUUAAUCUGAAUCGUGAAAAUAAAAGAUUUUUCUGAAGUAGAUGACCGAAGCAUAGUGUUUAUCACAGCAAGUUUUAAUAACAAUUUUGGAUACGCUAUGUCAAGGGCUAGACACUUCUCUUGAGAAUAUUUUACGAUGUAUUAUAAAUAGCCGUUUAAAAGCCUGAAAGCAUCCUACGAACGUCAAUUCAUUUAUAUUAAGAUCUUUGAUAUGGGUCGAAGAUUUCGUCUAUAGUGGGCCGCUGUUUGCUGAAACACGAGAGAGAUCAUAAUCUCGUCUUCUUUUCAAGAAUCCGAAGCAAUUUGUUCACAAAAUUUGUAUUAAUUGCAGAUAACCGGUUGCCAUCGAGCACCCAGCAUGCAGGGCGCAACGAUUCCGAGCGGAUCUUAGGGCGCGAAUGAUCAUCGAUUGCAUAAAUCGCCGCGAAGCCUGCGGAACGAUCUCUACAGAAACGAACUCAAUUAGUACUUUCCCCCCACCGUGAUUCGGCACACGUAAGCGAAGUGUUGCUUUAGUAAAAUAACUUAGAUAAAUAUGUUACUACCUAGAAGUACGCGAAAAUAUAUUACGUAGUCAAUGUUAAUUGCGCGACGGAGAACACAUGGAGCGGCGUGCGAGAGGGAUAGAAUGCAAAGAAGAGAGUGCAAGAGCAUGAGAAAAUGAAACGUGUUCCGAUAGGAUGAGCGCUGAUAGCCAGUCCCUAUGGAACCUAAUUUACGCAUAAGACGUCCACCUUUGCCAGUUUUCUUUGCCUGCGGACACCGUGAACAGUUGACUUUUUUUACGACUGCAAGGAGUGGCAGCAAUAGCAAUACAACCAAGAGAGGGGUAUCUCUAUUCUAUUCUCCAGAACUCUAUCUAAAGCAUGCAAUAAUGAUUUUUUUAAUGACCUGUUACCGAGAAAAAUGCUUUUGAAAAUUUGUUAAAUAUUGGUGAACUCGAUUAUUGAGCCGUGAUAAUUGAGCCGUUCAUUGCACAAAUCGAUUUACUCCAUAAUGUAAAAAGUUAUACUAUACCAAGUGCUUUGACGCUGAACACGUUGGUCGCCAUGUCACCCAGAAAUCAGUGACGGUACUCAGUAAUCGAAUUAAAUAAAUUAAUACCAAAAGUGAGACUAUAAUGAAAAUAAAUUUGGACUGGAUUUAUGAAUUUAAUUGGUUAAACAUUUCAAUACCGCGGUAUAUGUUAAAUUAUCUAGUCUUCAACAGUCUCGAGACGAAAUUUUAUCUUGGAGAAAUUUUCACGAGUUUUAGUAUGGCAGCCAACGUGUUGAAAAGACUUUUUAAAAGCUCCAUAAAAGAAAAAGUUGAGAAAUGCGACGAAAUAUAAAAAGUUAUGACUAUACCAAGUGCUUUGACACUUAAAUUUAAAAUUUCUUUUAAGUGGAGUUAAUCGAUUUAUGCAGUGAACAGCUCAAUUGUAGGUCUUCGACACAGCUCUGUCAGCAUUGAUAUAGCAACACACGAAUCAAUUUUAUUUUAUAUUCUUUUCUUCGUUCUUGUAUGAAGAAUCCUCCUCCUUGUUGUGUUGCUAUUACUGGAACAAUCUGCACGUAGAUCGCCGAUAGUUCAUUGUUCAAACGAAUAAUGCUCCUGGAGCCAUCACUGUCUUAAUUCUUAACUUUUCUUUUUAUUCUCCCGAGAUACGUAUCCACUCAUUUCCACGAGUGUUUGAAUCGAUUCGGUUGCCAUUGGCAGCGCCCAAUCGGUUUAAAAAGCGAUCGACGCAUGUUCCAGAAAGAUGAAGCGAACUUGGAAUUCUUCGUAUGAAGUCUAUCGAGCCUUCGAGUAAAAGGUUCAAGUCCACUUCGAAGUUAUACUGGAUCUAGGCUGAUCAUCUACAUCGGUGAUUCUUAACCACUGUGCACACCACUAUGCCACGAAUGUUUGCAUUUUAUAACAUUUGAAAUUGUUACUAUAACUCAUGAAAGAAAAAAGGUCCAUAACAAGCAUCAGUUUAAAUAUAAAUAUAUCUUAAACAUUUCGACUUUGUACCAUCUAUCAGUCAGAGAAAAUCAGGUUCUCUGAGAGUUAUUAAAUAAUAAAAAAAUGUUUGAGUUAGAGACACAUUUUAUUCGAUGUUGGCUUUGUUCCUUAAAAAAGACAAGUCUUCUUGUUUCUUCGAUCAUUUAUUAAUUCCAUCAAUGAUUGUAUAAACUUCGGUUUAAAAAUUCUUCGCUAUGUUUUCUUCGAGAGGAUUCGAAUGAUAUAAAGUGGAAACAUUUAAAAUGUAUCUACUUAUAUUUAAACUAUUGUCCAUUUCACUAUUGGAUUUCUACUCCACAAGGAACUUAUGUAUUAUUAAAUUCUUCGAAGUUUUGUAGAAGAGGUUCGAGUUAAAAUUACAUUUUCUCAAAAAAGAUAAUGGAUAUUUUAAAGCAUCUAACAAAUUAAUCAGUUCUUAAAUUUGCAAUUUUAACAACUGAACUAAAGCCCCUAUCUCUUCUUUUCUAUCUCUAGAGCUAAUAUAGUAAUACUUGAAUUUAUACCUUGAAAAUUCAGCUUUUUCAUUCGAGUUCUUUCUACCAAGCAUCGAGUUUAUUUCUAUCUGAAUUGUACUCUAAACUCAUAAACCUUAAGAUUCAUUUUAUAAUUCUGCUAUGAACCCAAAAAGGUUAGGAAUCACUGAUCUAAACAAAAAUUAUGUGCAGUAAUGCGUCGAUCAAAUUACGAUUUCUGAUCAGAAAUGAACAAGAUAUACAGAAACGAUCGUUACGAGAGUUCCUUCGAUGUAGCGGCAGUUUCUAUUUCCGCAUCUUCGCGUAAGAAACCCCUAUGUUUUGUAAACAACGUUACCGAAACCGCAGCGAGCCGUAACACCAGCGACUGUAGCCCUUAAUUCCUUGUAGCCUUAUAAUAUAAUAUUCUUCUUUUCUUUUGUUCUUUUUCUUCUCUAUUCUUUUCAAAUUAUGCGCGAAUAAGCACAAACGUUUGAAAGAAAUUGUAUAAGAUAUGUAGACAUAUAUUUGAAACUUGAGUUAUAUAUUUAACAUGAAUACUAUUUAAUGUAUGAUUCAAGCUUAUAAUAAACGGGUUGUAUAGAA